UAGAUCAAAAGUGUUGUUCCUACGGAUGUGGGUGUAGAACUAGAUGUGUAGAUCCAGUAGGAAAAAUUAAAGUUGACGUCUGCUCCCAACCAAAAGUUGUCGGUCGCUGCCGAGCUGCGUUCAGACGAUGAUGGUACAAUAAAAGAAAUAAACAGCUGUGAGCUCUUCAUUUAUGGCGGAUGCCGAGGAAACAAAAAUAACUUUCGGACAGAGGGGGAAUGUCGGGACCGAUGUUUGAUGAUUCUUUGAACUUUGCCCUAUCGAAUAACAACUGGCUUUAGAACUGGAACGACUACCUGAUGUAGCAAGGAUACGUAUUUUAAAUUUCAUUGUGUUGUUGAUUUUUUUAUCAAACUUUAAAUAAAUCAAUGCUUGG
Molecule: long non-coding RNA, 376 nt
Organism: Saccostrea cuccullata (small rock oyster)
Lineage: Eukaryota; Metazoa; Mollusca; Bivalvia; Ostreida; Ostreidae
Exons: 3
Source: RefSeq, a predicted model, not a curated record